CAGUUUGAAUUUUUAAAUAAAAUAUUAUUUUACCCGCUUUCAAAUAAAAUUAAAAUUAAACUGAAAAGGACCAUUAAUAUAUAACUGUUUCCUUUUGUAUCAGGAAAAUACUAACACUUUUUCUACAAAAUUUACCCGAAAAUAAUAGAACUAUUUAUACUAUAUACCUGUGACAUAACUAGCAAAACAAUAAAUAGAAACUAAACAUCAAACGAAAUUUAAAAUAGCUGGUUUUUUAUUUAAAAAAAUUAAAGAACAAGCCUUAAUUUAAACAAAAAAUUGUGCUAAAUUUAUUAGAACUAAUAGUAUUCACUCAGUCCUUUAACCACAUUUCCAAACAACAACGUAUUUCAAACAAAAACAAACUAUAUUUAUCAAUACUGUAUUUAUAAGUAAUUAUAAUGCCAUUUUUACUAAAGAACUAAGCAUAAGAAAAUAGCCUGUUUAACAAAAACAUAACUUAUAGCCCUAACUAUAAGCAUAUCCUGCUCCAUGACCUUUAAAUAGCCGCAGUUUCCUGUGCUAAGGUAGCAUAAUCACUUGUCUUUUAAUUUAAGAAUAGUAUGAACGGAAAAACUGUUUUCUAUUGUUUCUUUAAAAAAAAAUAAAAUUACUUUAAAAGUAAAAAUCCUUUUAAAACAAGAAAGACGACAAGACCCUGUUAAACUUUACUUUAGUUUAGCUGGGGUGGCUUUUAUAAAAAAAUCUUAACAAAAUAAACACUACAUCUAAUAAAGUUACUACAGGGAUAACAGCAUAAUAUAGUUCUAUAGCUCGUAUAUACAACUAUACUUGUGACCUCGAUGUUGAAUUAAAUGUCUAUAAUAAGUAUAAUAAUUAUAAGAAAGUCUGUUCGACUUUUAAAAAUUCACAUGAUUUGAGUUCAGACCGGUGUAAGCCAGGUCGGUUUCUAUCUUCUUCUAGUAAACCCUAGUACGAAAGGACCGUGUUUUAAACUAUCAGAU
Molecule: ribosomal RNA, 965 nt
Filed under: Parachtes riberai
Lineage: Eukaryota; Metazoa; Arthropoda; Arachnida; Araneae; Dysderidae
Description: 16S ribosomal RNA
Rfam family: Archaeal large subunit ribosomal RNA (bases 642-919)
Source: RNAcentral